GCCGAAGUGCUGGAAUUGGUAGACAGGCACGUUUCAGGGACGUGUGCUUUUUACAAAGCGUGUGGGUUCAAAUCCCACCUUCGGCA
RNAcentral lists this transfer RNA (86 nucleotides) under Candidatus Woesebacteria bacterium CG_4_10_14_0_2_um_filter_39_14. Its description in RNAcentral is "tRNA-Leu". It matches the Rfam family "tRNA". Rfam says of the family: Transfer RNA (tRNA) molecules are approximately 80 nucleotides in length. Their secondary structure includes four short double-helical elements and three loops (D, anti-codon, and T loops). Lineage: Bacteria; Candidatus Woeseibacteriota. The record is from RNAcentral. RNAcentral also lists the same sequence under 1 other name.